This 1111-nucleotide long non-coding RNA is filed under the name Astyanax mexicanus (Mexican tetra). RNAcentral describes it as "lncRNA (ENSAMXG00005000882.1)". The record is from RNAcentral. Lineage: Eukaryota; Metazoa; Chordata; Actinopteri; Characiformes; Acestrorhamphidae.
AGAAUUGGUUAGAAUUUAAAUCAUAUCAGUUCUUUUAGACUGUGGUUGUUAUAUGUAGAUUAUUUUAGCAUAUAUUGUACAAGGACUGUGGAAGAAAAAUGAACAUGUUCAGUCAAUUCUGUGAGUAAUAUUAUAAUAUUAUAGACUUUGCCUUAUUCAUUCACCUGUACUGAACACAACACACUUUACACUGCUGCUGUUCAGAUUGUUUCACCACUUACGCAAAACUGUAAAUGUAAAACCAUGUAGUGAAUAAUCUAAUUUAUUGUGAUUACACUGUACUGAUAUGAACUGCCUUACACUGAACUUACACUGAAUUGAGAGAUCCAUGCUCUUCCUUCUGCCUUGUUUUGGUUGCUGUGUUGACAAUUCAGCCAUUUUCUUCCACCUCCUAUCAAUUCAGCAGAAAUAACAUCACUAAUCUCUCACAUUGAACACACACACACUUGUUUGAUUGAAUUUAAAUCACUAGGCAGGUAUUAUAUCAGGCUCUCGCAUACACACACCGUCUGUGGAUCUCCUGAGAUUGCAGUGUUGUGUAUCUGCAGAGUGUAAAAUGUCUUUUCCUCAUUAUACUGAACACAGUCACAGCUCUCAGCUCAGUAAUAUCAUUCACACUCUCUGCUCUGUUUCAAUAAGUGUUUUUCUGCACUCAGUUUUCACCCCUCUACUUUAAACCAGUUAACACAACAGCUUAACUUUCACCCUGUUUAUCAGCUCAGUUGGAGAAUUCACUCAGUGAGCAUCAAAUCUAAUUUGUCUUGUUGGAGACGAUAAUCACACUGUAUUUCUACAUCAAUAUUUCAGAUCUGGAUAUCAUCACUUUCCCAGUGUCAGCAGACUGUCUUCACCUGACUCUGUUUACUUAUUUAGUUCACUGUGAUGAAGCUCACACUGACCAAACGUUUGAUUUAUGAAUCCUUCACUAAAGUUCAUACCUUUAUUCUUCUCUUUUUCUUGGAGCGUCAGAAUCGUCUGUGUUGAACCUCUUCUCAGAGUUACGGAAUAUCCAGUAGUUCAGAUAGGUUUUCUCUUAUUUACAUAUGGGACUUAUUUACACUCUGGUAACAUUUCUACACUGUCUAAGCAUUUACAAAAUAUAUUAUAAAAU